RNAcentral lists this long non-coding RNA (19884 nucleotides) under Gallus gallus (chicken). The record is from RNAcentral. Lineage: Eukaryota; Metazoa; Chordata; Aves; Galliformes; Phasianidae.
GCUUUACUGGCCUUUAUGAAAGAACAGAUAUGUGAGGAAAGAAUUUGCAUGGCAGACAAAGGGAGGCAGCUGUCCCAGUCAGCAGUGAAGGGCAGCAAGGAGGGCAUUUAACUUACAUUACUCCGGUGACUAAAAUACAGCCUCUGUGCUGGUGUUUCUCUGAGGCCCAAGGUGCACUUACCCAGAGUGUCUCAUUUGCAGAAACGAUGAAAUACUUUUCUGCAAUUGGUUUAUGAACUUGACCUAUGUUAAAGUAGAAAAGCUUAUCCAGUUCGUUGUCUGUGGGUGUUUAAAAGGAAACUUUUAAUUUAAAAUAUUAGUUUUUCUUUCAGUGUUUAUUUUUCUCACUAUACAUAUAAUCCUCAUAUUGUAUUCUCCUUAUUAUAUUGCAUGAAUAUCCUAAGCUAAUCUGUAUUGCCAGGCUUCCUGCUACUCAUUGUAUUCCAUUUCAAAAAUUAUUGGUAGUCUUUUUGUCUGUUUGUGCAGGAAGCUAUUCUUGUCCCGACACAAAUCUGGAUAUCAGCAAUAGCUAUAGACAAUAAUCGUUCGUGAGAUCGAAGAAUGAAGCUUGGGAAGCUCUGAUGGACAUAGGUGUAGCCACGGUACUGACAAUAGCAGCUCACUAAGCAAAUGAAAUUGUUGUAAUGUGUGGUGGGUGGUUAACCUGUGAAAUUUGGGAAUCCAGAAUUGAGUGUGGCACACAUUUAUGUCAAGAAAAUGAAAGUAAAAAUCAUAGAAAAAAGGCAUCCAGAUGUUAUAUCAAAAGACUAAAAUCUUCCAGAGAGUAGAUACCUGUCAGCAGUUUGUUUUGCCUUCUUGGUCUUCCUUACAUUGGGUUGUGUGCCUACAGAUAUUCUCUUUGUUGUUGUUGUUGUUGUUUUUUACUGUUGCUGUUGUUAAAACUUCUCACAUAGAGCCAGUGAAAAUACCAUGAUUGUGAAAGUUAUUAUUAAGAAUGUACUGAUGAGGCUGUGACCUCUUUUAUAUUAUGUAGGACUCUCAUUCAAGGGAAUUAAAAUAAAAAGUGCAUAAAACUAAAAGUGAAGAAGAAUAUUACUAAGUAAGAAGUUGUGAAAUCACAGCAAAAUUGCUGAAUCAGUAUCAAAAUGAAAUUUAGAGCACGGUGAACAGUAAGCAGAACACCAAGUGGGAAGGUAGCCCAGCUCUCCCACACUGAGUUUCAUAAUCCAGCUAAGCAGUACUUUCCAAUGUUAAAAUAAAGCAUGGAGUUAAAAAUAACUCAAUUUAAGCAGUUUAAGCUAAAAGUGCUCUGGUAUGUGUUCCAUUGAUUUCUGUGUACUAUUCCAUGUGUCACAUGGCCACUAACUGGUUAAUCACUGCAGUAUGCAUGCUAGGAGUUGAGACUUGAGUAGAGAGAUGUGUUGGCUGAAGCCGGGUACUACAGUGAUGGGGAGCUGCCCACCUGCCCCACGCUGCCUCUGGUCCUCAGAGGUGCUGCUGCCAGAGCCUGGACACUGCCAGACAGUGUCAUCGCCAGGGAAAACAAGCUAGUUCCCAACUUGUUUAUCUCCAGUCAUAACAGAAAUAAAAUCUAGUCUGUAGAACGAAGGAGCAUCUCUGUGGUUUUGUAAGACAAACGUGAGGAGGCUUCAAGCUGCAAGUCUUUUAAGACUUUUUUUCAUAUGUGCAGGCUCUUUGGUAUUAUUUAUGAGUUGUUUCUAAAUUUGCGCAUCUUCCAAUAAAAUGAAAUACUGUGGUAUCAAAGCCUAUAAUCACUACCAAAUAUCAAGUAUCGAAAGUCUUAAGUUCCCUCAGUGGGGCUACAUGUAAGUGAUGGUGGGCAAGAAUCAAUUCACUGGUUAUCUUUAUCAUGGGUCUACAGUUCCUCAUGAUUUGCAUGGCACACUUGAGAUCACACCAUGACAAAUGAGUGUGAGGGCAGGAAGCAGCGACUGCAUCAGCUCUACCUAGAGUCUUUGACCAGCCUAAUGGUUGUUUAGAAAGCUUCAGUGCAUCAUCUGGUUAAGUAUCUGCAAAAUUUACAGAACUAGACCUACUUAAGUUAGACAGUCUUCCUAAUCGCAGGGUCACAGAAUGGCUGAAAUUGGCAAGGACCUCUGGGCCCAUCCAGUCCAAACCCUGUUAAAGCAGAGAUACCCAGAGUGCCCAGGACCAUGUCCAGAACAUAGGAUCACUGAACUUAAACUGGAGUCCAUUUGACACUAUGGCAAGAAGUGGCAGCCAAUACAAAUCUGAUGGAGUUUCAACUGCAGAAGGCUUAAUCCAAAUCAGAACAAGAACAUAUGUUAAAGAUAUAUUUUCCUUCUAGUUCAAUCGGAGCGAUUUGACUCCCAUUGCAUGCUGUAAUAUAUUGGCACCUAGUGGAAGGUAGUUGUAAUUGCAAUGUAAAUUUUGAAAAAUUCAAAACAUUUACUCAAAGUUCUGUAUUUGCUAUUUUUAAAAAAUACUAAGUAUUUGUGGUUGAAAAUAGAUUUGGUGGUGGUGCUUGGAGAAGAUGUGAAUUCAAUGCUUUUUUAGCAAUUGGAAUUGUUAUAAUGGUUAGAACCAUUACAAUGGUUUAUUUACCAAUGAUCUGGAAAAGAAAUCGAUUACUUGUCAGGGAAAAUACUGUUCCUAUAUGAAAAUAUACAAAUUAUAAAAUCUUUACCUCAAUUUACCUUUCAGGAAGGGAAAAUGCCACCAAUUGUGUUUCAGUACAGAGAAAGAAAGGUUCAUUAAAUAGGAGAGACAUAAGAAGUAAAAUAAUGUUAUCUUCUUUAUAUGAUAGUAAUAACCAAAUACGAUGACAUGUAUGCAUACAUACUUAAUAUCAGAUCUUCACUCACAGAAUGAGAGUCCAACAACUCAAAUAAAGCUGAAAAGGAGUUGAGAAUCUGUCUUCCCUGCACAUUGAAACUGUUGAACAUUGUUUGAAAACUACCCUUGAUCUAAAAUAGAAAGGACCCUCUGUUAAUGGAAACAGACUGACAUAUUUGUUGUUUUUGUUGUUUUAUUUGUUUUGUUUUGUUUUAUUUUGUAGGAUUUUUUACAGUGAUGGUAAGACGUUCUAAUAGUCAUUGGGCAAACAAACAGGACUUCAGCAUUUGUCAGUGGUGUUGAUAUAAUCAGAAACUUUAUAAAAGUCGUUUGAAGACGUGACAUAAAAGUAUGUGAAAGCUGAAAGCAGGUAAUCUGAAAAUUUGAAAUGAAUAAUUGAGGAUGAUUUGAAAAAAAAAAAAAGAAAAAGAAAAGGAAAAAGAAAAAGAAAAAGAGCAACAAAAGCACCAAAUAGAAAAAUGGUAAAGGAAACAGGGUUUUUCCAAAAGGAGAUAAGGGAAUACAAGACAUUCUGGAAUGCAUGAAGAGUGACUCAGUAGAUUAUUUCAGUGUUUAUCCUCUAUUCAGAAAUGAAAGAGGAUGAAUAGGCAAAAGCCUCAAAGGAUAAUAAAAAGCUGAAUAUUAUUUGUUAGCUUUCAAUUCACUGGCAUACACAUUAGCAGGUGUUACUGAAAAGCUUGGUUUUAAAGAAAUAGCUCAAUAACCAAUGCCUGUAAAACUCUGUGAAGUACAUAUUUAGUGAACAACCUCUAAGGUAACAUGAAAUUUGUUAAUGAUUAGUGAAGACAAUUUUAAGCUAACAAGCCAGCUUGUCUGAGGCUUAUAACAAAAGGAAGAUUGCUGGUAAACAUGUAUAAAAUUACUUCAUUGUUUUGUUUGGAAAUAUAUUUCUUUUUGUUUAAGUGCCUACUGCAAAUUGGAAAAAAAAAAUCUGUAUAAAUUGAAAAUAAAUGAUGGGCCACAUGAAUCCAUGAGUAAUAUUCAAGGUUAAGUGAAUCUGCAUGCUUUUCAUGAAAAACUCAGGUCAGUUUUAAUUAUAGAGCUAUGACUAACGCCACCACAGAGUUUAUGAAUGCGUUUGUACAUCCUAUUUUUAAUGCAGGGUAUACUUUCUUCAAGGCAACAUUUGCUUAACUGUAGUAACAGAACAUGUUGUAUUGUAUGAGUGUGGCACAUGCCAGUCGAUUUUGUACUCCAUCAUUUUAUAUCUUUUGAGUCAGAGAAUCUAAUAGUAAGGCAUGGCAUGUAUAUCUAAUAUGGGUAUUUUCAUUUUUGUGUUUCUAAAAAAAUAAUUUCACAUUUUAAUUAAAUGAUAUGCGGCAGAUUAUUUUUUCCUAUUUGUUUUUAAUUAUCUAAUUAAAAGAUAAUUUCAUAUUAUUUCAGAGCAUGGGUCUGGCUCCUGGGUCUUUUUUUUUUUUUUUUUUUUUUUAAAUAGAAAGUGAAUGGAGGUAAACUUAUUUUAAAUGAUUGAAAUAGAAAUUACUAGCAGUACACACACAGUGUGAUCUUGGAAAUAAUUAGUCUAAUUACUCUUCAAUCUGUGAUCUUAAUUGUACAACUUUGUGAUAAUAAAAAUGAAAAAGGUCUUAAAUAACAACGAGUUUGGAUUUGCACAUUUAGCAAAAUUUGUUUUUCACAAUUACUUUUUGUAUUUAAGUGGAUCAGGAAUGAGGAUUUAUUUCACUUUUCAGAGGAGCAUAUGCACAACUGUAUGAUUUAGGAUAACUUUCAGCUCUUUCAAAACUGGAUGGAAAGAUACUGACUGCAGUGAAAGUGUGUAAUUACAUCUACCUAAUGGCUUUAAACUGGCAGAGGGUAGAUUUAAACUAGAUAUUAGGAAUAAAUUCUUUCCUAGGAGAGUGGUGAGUCACUGGAGCAGGUUGCCCAGUGAAGUUGUGGCUGCCUCCUCCCUGGAAGCAUUCAAGGCCAGGCUGGAUGAAGCUUUGAGCAACCUGGUUUAGAGGGAGGUGUCCCUGCCUAUAGCAGGGGGUUGGAGCUAAAGGUGCCCUCCAACCCAGACCAUUUUAUCAUUCUAUGAUUCUGUGAUGUGUAGAGACAGUGGGAACCUCGGGGGUCUGAGUGGGCUGAGGUGCCCAUGGGGUGGGGAUGUAGCAUUGGCCUCCCAUGCAGGGCUGGUGAGAUCACUUCUAGUACUCAAAUCCAGGCACCAAGACUCAGUACCUUGGGAUGGUGAAGAGGUUGUUUCCACUUUUCUCCAAAUUUUUGUGCAGUUCUACAUUUAUCACGUUCUUUUCCUGAAUUCUUUUUAAUUAUCGCAGCUGCUCCACUUUUUGAAUCCAUGAUGUCUGUGAAGUCAAAAAUAAAAAGUGCGAAAUAAAAGGUUUGCUUAUUCUAGAAUAUAUUCAAAGUGAUGAAAGGUUCUUGUUUUUCUCUCACAGAUGCUUAUUACCAAAAUUGGCUCCUGCCUUAGAGAACCAUGUCAUUUCAAUAGUUUCAGUCUUUAGAACUAAGGAAAAACAGAUAUUUUCUUCUCUGCAGGAGCACUGGAGCUCAACUGCAUCCUCCAAAACUGUAAAUGACAGCAGAUGAUAGUUGUCACAGGAGCAUAAGUUUAAAAGCCAUGUCCUUAAACGAUCUUUAGUCCAUGGGGAGAAACAUUUGUCAGAUGAGGAGAACGUUAUAAAUUUUAGGAUGUUCCUCAUGAAUAUCUGACAUAUGGAACGGAACUUCUUGUUUUAUCAAAGCAUUGCAAUGUGAAUUGUUUAAAACUUGUCCUGUCUAUACAACAGUGAGGUGCUUUUAGGUCCUGAAUGAGACAGAAAGCAUAGGUGUGCCCCCUCUGAACCAUUCAAACCAUAUUAAAAUUUCCAGUUCUGUCUAGACUGCAACUUUUUAAGUUCCUGUAUUCCCUAGUUAUAAUGUAGGGAUUGAGCCAAUGAGAUUUGGGUUUGGAGAGCGUUAGCAGCACAGGUUGAUCAAACUGAAGAAGGUAAGCCUGGAGAUGUCCUGUUCAUGGACUGCUUUCAGUCUUGUGUAUUGGCUCUGUAAAACUGCCAUGGGCAGUACUAUUUAGCUAUCUUUUUGGAGCAGUGGAAAAUACCAACCCAUGUUCUAUCAUAGCUCUUUUACUCGACUGAGCUUUCACUACAUUUUCUGGAUUACGAGGUAAGCACUACCGCUGCUGCACACUGUUGAGAACGAUAAGGAAAAAGGUUUUCACAUUAAUUUCAGCAAUGUUGAUCAUUUAUGGUGUUAAUUGGCACCAGGUAGUCCUAUUUUUGUACUAAUUCUAUCUCAGUUAAAAGAAAGGGCACUUUAAAAGCUGAAUUUAGGGAGGUUAUAAAGCUAUGCUGGCAGCAGAACCAUUUCAGGAACUGUAACUACCAUUUGGGAAUAUGCUUUUAUACUUCCCUGUAGCAAAUGUGUUGAUUGUUCUUGGAGCCUUCAUGGGAAAACAGACGUCAAGUGAUUUAGCUCAAGUCUGCAAAAAAGUUACUUUUUACUUUUUUUGUUGUUGUUUUUAGUACCAUAAAAGUAGACUUUAACCGAAGGUGUUUCAGAAGUUCUAGCCAGCAUUUCCCUGACCUUGCUACAGGUGCUUUUCUUCCUUGGGUGCCUGCCAGAAUCCAGCAGCAGUAAUUUUGCAGCACAUGCCCUGCUAGAACCUUGCACCAAUCUGAGGAAUGUGCAAGUUCACGGUGUUACUUGGCCAUGCAAUCGUACAUCAGCUGCGUUACCAGGAUGAUGAUUCACUGCCUGGGCAAAGGGGUUUUUUUUGCAGAGCUGUCACCUGCCUGGGUUGCUGCCACUGGGAGCUGUAUUGUGGCAACAUCAGCCCCAUAAAGUGCCGGGGGAUUGCUGCAGGGAGAGGGCUGGCAAACUGUAAUUUCCUGAGUGGAGAUGAGUUUGUUAUGGUGAUAAAUCUUUUUCUCAUAACUGCUGCCCACCAUCAGUGAUUUUGAGAAAUUUCUGUUGAUCCCUCAAGUCUCACUGGAAAAAAAAAAAAAAAAAAAACAGACUUAACAGGAUGGGAAAGAUAACCUGGCAAAGCUUCUGGCACGUCUGUGUCCAUGAUUCAGUUUUUCAUAAAUGGAUAAUUAUUUAAGUCUGUUGGGUUUGGUUGUUUUGUUUGUUUGUUUGGGGUGAGGGAGGGGUUGUUUUUUGGGAUGUUGUUUUUUGUUUCCUUUGAAAGCAAUGCCAGUGUUUUGUGAGCAAAGUGUUAACUUGCCUUUGUUUCUGCUGACACUCAGUAAUUUGCGUUAGGUUUAUUAUUAUUGGCAUCCCUAGAGACUUUUAUGGUACUGUGGAGAAGAAAGGACUACAAAGGAACACACGGCCAAAGAUAGCUGAAGAUGUGUGCACGUGAUAUGUGAUAAAUUUGUCAGCAAUUAAUUUCUUAAUAAGAGGCACAAUAAAUAGAGGGAUCCCCUUAAGAUGUGCUACUGGAAAUCCCAUAAGUAUUUUAAUUUCUUGAAUGCUCUUCUCGGAAAAGAAUUAAAAUUAAAAUGCAUAUAAUCUUUCUGCCAAUAAUUUGGGCUGAAAAGCAACUUUUAGUAUUUUUCUUCCAUUCACCCCCACCCUUGAAGCAUUUUGGCAGCAAUACCAGUAGGAUGGUCACUCCUCUGAUAUCUGAUGCUUUGCACUGCAUGUUGGGGGUUACGGUGCCUUAGCAGCAGAGCUGGAGCCGGGUGCAUCUCCUGGCUUAGGGAGCAAUUCUUGUCACUCACAUGGUCCCCGUGAUUAAGUGCUUCUUGGUCCUUUUAGGAAACCAUUUGCUGUCCUGCAGUGUUCUCUCAUUCACACACACUUCCGUGCCUCUCCAUUUAAUUGGUCUCUUCCUCCACUCAGCCUGCUGUGUGCUGUAAUGUGGAAGAGCAGACCGAACCCUGCAGUGAUUUAUGAGUGCUUCAUAGAUGGAGGCCAAGGCUGCUGCAGGCUCUGGUAACUUUAGUAACAUAAUACUAAGGGAACAUUACCAAAUUUUCCAGCUCCCAAAUUGAUCUCAAUUAGAAAGCAUGUUACGACGGGUGCUGUCCUCAGUCUCUUUAGCACUAACAGGGUUAAAUAGCAAAGUGAAAGGACGUGCUUUUCAUUUUCUACCAUGGAGGCACAACUGGUAACUGUGAUGACUGUAUAUCUUGGUAGGUGAAAAAUGACCAACCCGAGAUGAGCAAACACUGGCAGAAAGCAUAGAAGCAGACACAUAAUUCACAGGCCAGACAGCAGGAGAUAAGGCACUGCAUAUGAAUUGAGACGAUGUGGGUGUGAGAGCAGCGCUGAAAGAGGGGAUUUAACUGCUACACUGAAGGUGCAAUUAGACAAACAGCUCUUCUGGCUGUAUCUAAUCCAUAGAUACCACCCAAUAGCAGAAAUUGGUUGAAAAAUAAAAAAACAAACAAACAAAAAAAAAACACACACACAAAAAACAAUGCAGAAAUAGCAAGCUUGCUUCCAGACAAAAUAAAUAACAAUCAUCAGUUAAAAAUACCUAAAGAUAACAUCUGCCUUUUAAGUAAGCAGUCUAGUUCUUGUUUCUUUCUGAGAAUGUGUAUUUGGGUUCACAUUUACAGACAUUUUCUUUUGCUUUCAAUAGACUUUUCAGCAUUUUCUUUCCAAAACAUGGAUACUGGGUAACUAUUGCCUAGCAAUGUCAGCUGCCUCAGUGUACCUUAGGUUGGGUUAAAAUAGUCCUUCUUCCUUUAGUUGUAUUCCAUUAAUAUCCUUAAUAUCCAUUAAUAUCCAGUGAGGGUUUCCUCCAGAGCUGGGUGAGGAGAAAGGGGCUGGGAGCAAAGCUGGGAGGCAUUUGUUGGAACACGAAGCAGCUUCAAAAUGUAAAGCUGAAGCAAACUUUGUUUUCGCACCAGGCUCUAAUUGCAGCCCUUUGGGUUGAUCUCUCUGGCUCUGCGGUGAUUCCCUGGGUCAGCCUGUAAAGGCUGAUGGAGAGCUCAUCUCUCCUGAGAAGCACCCUGUGCAAUGCAGGGUCAGCAUCUGAAGCUGUAGAGAGCUCCUGUGUAUCUGAGGACACAGACUUGGGGAGGCUCCUAUUCCCUUGUUUAUGUAUUUUGCUUUUUAAAGGAGAUUUAUAUUUCCUGUGUAAAAAUUCUUGUUCUCCCAAAGUCACAAACCUACAAGCAAAAAAUGUUUUAUUCCCAUGGCUCAGGCGUGCUCUGAGAAUGAUUUAUGAGUAAGACACAUACACAUGGUUCAUACUUCAGCUUGCCAAGCUGUGGGCCACUUAGGCGAGCUUUGUGGAAGCAGCUGAUUGCACUUUAGGGCUGUAAGGCUAGUCUGGGUUUCCUGCAUAUCUGUUUAAUUUAGCUGCCCUUAAUGAUCCUGUACAUAUGUCCUGGUGCAGUAAUACUGUAUUACAAGCCAUCUAGCUUUUAUGCUGAAGAAGCAUGCAAUCACUGUGACUGUUGAAAUAAACCACUGUAAAACCUGGCAGGAGUUUUUCAUACUGUAUUUCAAAAGAAAUUGAACUCCUUCAGCAAAGGCUUCUCUGUAAUCUUGAAAAAGUUAGGGGGAUCCUAUGGGAAUAUUGUGUUCCACGGGCUUUCUUUGAGCAUUUAAGUAGCCCUAUAGGCCAGUGCAUACUCAGAUAUAAUUUUCUGGCAUUCUUGUUUUAUUUUUUAUUUUUUUAUUAUAAUAAUACUUUCCAGCUGGAUACACUUAGAUUGUCUGGUUCUAAUUUACCCAAAUGACAAACAAACGCAUUCUUAAGUGACUAGCUCUCCAUUCAGAAGUCUCAUAGCUUAGCUUUCCAAACUAUGCAUCUGAACUAUUUGAUUUUUUUUUUUUUUGUAGCACGACUAACAUUAGAUUUUACCAAUUAUUUGUGAAACAGACAGCAGUGACUGUAUAAAACAUGAUUUUCAUGUACAAACAUAGCAUUCUCAGUCAGAAUCUGCUAUUCUGGCAUUUAACUACAAUGCAAAUAGGGACUUCAGCAUUUCCUGCAUAGGAAAAUGUACAGAUAAAAUGCUGGUUGAAUCGUAGAACCACAGAAUCGUUUGAGUUGGAAGGGACCCUUAAAGGUCAUCUGGUCCAAAUCCUCUGCAGCGAACAGCGACACCCACAGCCAGACCAGGUAGCUCAGAGCCCUGUCCAGCCUGACAAUGAAUGCCUCUAAGGGUGUGACAUCUACCACCUCCCUGGGCAACCUGUUCCUGUGUCUCACCAUCCUCACUAUAAAAAACUUCUUCCUUAUACCCAAUCUAAAUCUGCCUCUUUUUCAUUUGAAACCUUUUCCCCUUGUCCCGUCACAACAGACCCUGCUAAAGAGUCUGCCCCCUUCUUUCUUACGGCCACCCUUUAGAUACUGAAAGGCCACUAUCAGUCUACUCUGCCUGAGCCCUCUGAGCUCUACUGUGUCCUAUUGUGCUCCUGCAUGUCACAGAUGGGAGGAAAAGCAUGAACAUAACAAUAAAUUCCAGAGCAGUGUGCAUUCAUUCACCUGAAUGAGAUGAUUUCAACACAAUUUUGCAAUGUAUAUAUAUAGCAUGUUUUGUAUCUUCCAGUCACAGUGCUUUUCUUUGUGCUAUUGAGAUACCCAUGUCUUCAGAUGCAGUAAAAGCAGCUUAGUCCCUCCAUAGCUCUGUACGUACUCUUGCCAUGAAUUCUGUUUAUGGAAGAGUUCAUUACUCUUCCUGGAGUCGACAGAGCAGGGAAUUCACUGUGUAAGCAGCUAACAUGAUGCCUAGAGGUAUGAACCAGAGCAUCCCCCAGCUCCCAACCUGCUUGCUAGAGCCCUGCAAAUCAGCAGGGCCCUGCUGCAAGGUUUCAACCUUUCAGAUUUCAUUGCCAUUCAAUGUACCACUUAAGUGCAUUUUAGACCCUGCGUUUUAAACCAGCUCUAAGUACAAUCUAGGGAUCUAUGUAACUGCACUUAAAUUUAAAUUCCAUUAUGUGACUGAAUAAUUUAUAAGUGUGUACAGGAAAGGUUAAUUGAUGAUAACCUUAAUUCUUGGGAUGUCAGAAGUAUUUUAGCAUUUUCUGAUUGAUUGUGUCUUGAAAUGUCUUAAAUUUUCUUUGCCAAGUUUGCUUUGAGUUACAUAGAAAAAGCAUCAUUGAGUUUCACCUCUCUCACUUUUAGGAAAACAGUUCUGUCAUUUUUGUACGUGCUUUAUAAAAUGUUACGAGUAUGAGCAUCUCUGCUUUGUAGAGGGAGGGCAUAGAGCAGAGAAAAAUCAAGUAACUUUAAAAAUAGUGUAUAAGAAGUCAUUAAAAAGCAAGACUGAAUGUUUUUGAAGAUUUUGUCAGCCAGGGACCUGUAUGGGAGAGGAGGAGAAUUUUUACAGCUGUGGUUACGGCUAGAAGACUACAACCACAAUGGGGAAGAUAGGACUAGACGGGAGAUGGUUUAGUAGGCAUGGUUGUUAUGGGUUGAUGGUUAUCUUUUCCAGCCUUAAUGAUUCUAAGAUUCUAUGAUUCUAUGCCUUUCUCCAGUCCCUACUGCCACAGCCUUGAAUAAUUAUGUAUAAAUGUUCAUUUGUUUUAAAUUAGUUGUAAAAGUACAUUCCAUAAUGCCCUAUCUCAAUAUCAUUACAAUGCUCAGAUCUUACUGAGACUUUGAACAAGCUCACAGGAGAACAUUUAUAAACUAUGAUGCUUUCAACAGUUUUGCUUUUAUGGCUGCUUUUAGCCACUUUAUGCAGUCACAGCAAAUAUGGAAUAGCAGCUAAGACAUCAGAGUUGGUUACCUUUUCAUCUCUUUUUAACAUAUCUUUCUUGUAAAACUGAGUCUUCCGAAUGAUAAUGUCAAAAAUUGUAUUUGAUGGCUUGUGUGUAAGGAGAUUAUGUACCAAGAGCAAUAGCAUCUGAAUAGGGUUUCCUUGCUUUUCAAUAUUUCAGACACUCAUUUUCUGGUCUUCAUGGUUGGUUGGUGCUACAGGAAAUGCUCACAUUAUGCUAAAGAAAUGAAUGAGACCAGGCAGGGCACAGAAUCAAGUUCUAACAGCUUCAUGAUAUGCAAAAAGACAAAGACUGCUUUCAUCAAAUCUCACCACGCAAGUAUACACUAUUUAAGCUGAAGUUUGAUAGACCCAGCCUGAGGUGCCCAAAAUGGCAGACUUAAGCUCUUACAGUCAUUCUUAAAAAAAAUCAGUUCUGCAUCUAAUCAUGUGUAAGCAUUUGAUUUUCCUUCCCAUUCCAUUUGUCAUUCUCUUUGAUAAUGAGCACUUGUUUAAUGAUGAUUUUAGGGUUCUGCACAGACUUUGCCUCUUCUUACUGUCCCAACUAUACAGUCACUUUGGUUGCUAUAAUUACAUUACACCUUACAAGUGCUGUUGGGGACCAUCUUAUAUAUAACAUGAAAACUGUAAGAACUGUCCAGCAUAUACUCACAAUAUACCUACAUGAGUGUCAAUGUGUCCACUAAAGACUUAAAUGAAACGGUAGAUACAAUAAGUUGUAAUAUCCAUGUAUAAGUGCUUAUUCUAUGUCAGCUAAAUUCUUUGCCAGGAGCAAUAGCCUCAUUUCAGAGAUUUUUAAGACUGAGAUACGAUAAUUGAUCUAACAAAAAGCGUCUUUCAGCAGAGCUAAAGGUACAAAUAGAUGUUAUGAAGGCUUGAAGGCUCUUUAACAAUAGUUGCUAAUCUAAACACUGAGUGUUAAAUUAAUCCGUGAUACAAUGUUGAGUCAUUAAAGUCAUCAGUUAACAAUCAGCCUUGUUUAACUGAAAACAGAGUUCUAGUUUGUAUUGAAAGAAAACUAAUGGGAGAAGAAAGACAAUUUACACAUUGGCAAAAUGUUUUUGGAAGAUAUUUUAAUAAUAAAAUAAAAAACAACUUGAUCUGAAUGGUCUAUAAUAUGUGACAACUAGAGAUGCUGAGAUAAAAAUAAAUUUAGACUGCUUACAUUCAGAAAUGUGGGCAAUUGAAACAUGUAGUUUACUUAAGACAUUACCAACCAAGAUCUCGUAACACUGAGUUAAGGAGAAUUAAAGUACAACUAACUUUAGCUAACCCAGCCCAAAAGAACUGUGUGAAACAGACAGAAGUAAAUCAUACCUGUGAAGGUGUUUGGCUUCUGCAUUGACUAGAUAAUGAGCUUUAACUGCAGGGCUAAUUUCCUAAUUUCUGUAAUUAGUAACAGCAGUGGUAGUUACAUAUAGUUAGAGGUAAUUAACUUUGUUGAGAAAAAUCCCUCUACACUCUUCCCACUGUGCUACCCGCUGUAGGGAACCUGCUUUAGCAGGGGGUUUGGCCUAGAUGAUCUCCAGAGGUCCGUUCCAACCCUAAAAUUCUGUGAUUUUGUGAUUUUUAAAUAGAUUUAGACCUAUGUGGUUACAGAUAAGUGACUCCAGAUGCAAAUAGGAAGUGUACUUUUGUGUGGAACAAGUUAUACAUUUACAUUUCUUUCUGCAUGUGGAAUAUACUGGCUACAUGUGAGCAGAAAGGUUUUGCUUCUAUAGGGAUGGGUAAGAAUUCAAGUCAUGAUGUGUAACUGAUACUGCACUGAAACAAAUAUCAAGUAAUACUCUUCACUGUCCUCAGCUCUUCUUCCUGAACAGUUGGCUUGAUUCAGCCCACUUAAUUAAACACUUCCUUGGAAAACAAGAUAAGCAUCUCAAUUGUAAUUCCAUCAUGAAAUUAUGGUCUUCAGAUUAGGAAAUCUAAACAUUCCCAAAUAAAAGACAACAAAAAAUGAACUUUUGUUGAUUUAAAAUUAAGAGGAAACUUCAUGUGGUGGAAUAAACAAAAGCUAACAAGCUAAUUACAAACUGAAAUAUAUUUUUGACAGUAUGAAAAUUGCAAACAAUCAGUUCCAAAUGUUAGAAAUACAACUAAUGGUUGGAAUAGCAACAAUCAAGUUUUACUCAAUAUGCUAAGCUUAAUUUCCUGUCCUGUAAAUCACAGAUGAAUCUCAUAAACAAGAGAGCUGCUAGAGAUGUGAUUAAUCAGUUUUUAUAAAUAUGGUGGUUCUGGCUGACCAAUUUUAGACGAUGAAUAUGGAAAAUGUGGGGAAUCAAAAAACAAAAGCUUUCUCAAUAUGAAUGAUGAGUGGGAAUAUUUUUUCUUCCCAGGUUGGAUAAAAUAGCCUUAUGGAUGCUGCUGCACAGGAGCUACAUUGCAGUCAUGUCUUGCAAUGCUCGUGUGGCCAUUGUCAGGAUUUCUCAUGCCCCAUCUGCAAAUCCCUGGUGCUGCUGCUUCAGCUGUGCACCAUCCUAUCAGAGCUUCUGAAGCAACAGGGCUGCUUUAUCCACAGAGUUUCUGCAUUACAGUGGACGGAGCAGUCCUUUGGCCACCCACAGUCAUCCUUCUGCUCUGACCUCACAAACCACAAUUGCUCCAUGCAGUGAUUCCAAGGAGAACAGCUGGUGGUUUUACCUGAACCAAGCAGUAGUACUCAUGGCAUUUAGAGAGAUUGCCUUUGCAAAGCCAUUAUGGGAAUAAUGUCACUGCAGUGACAGUGGAAACAUCACCUGAAAAAUUAUCUUAUAAAGUGUUAAAUCUGCUUGUGUUUAUGAAAUGUCACAUGGCAACAAUUAAACUUUUUUUAGAAGUGUGAAUCACCAGUAUGGAAUUGGUACUGGUGAGUCUGAGAGAAAUGGUUUGUUGAUGUGAAUCUUAUUUUCAAACAGUAAAGCAUGCUACUUAAAAAGUAUUUCCCCUGGAGUACUGAAGAAAUCUGCACUUUUUCUUUGGAAUAAAGAUUUUUGUUGUUGUUGUUGUUUUAUUUUGUUUUGUUUUUUGAAUGGCUGAUUGUUAAUGUAUGCUAUAAGUACAGUGGUUUAAAAUUAUGAUUAAAUUGAUUCUUUUACCCGGGUUUACUUUAGCACUUCUGAAAAAUCAUAUUUAUGUGUCUUUGAUAAAGUGGGCUUUUUUCUUUCAUUUUGUUUUUUUUUGUUUGCUUGUUUGUUUUUAAUAUAUAUAUUUUUUCUCAGCUGAGUUGUAAGAGGAAAUGCAUCACCAAGCCUUACCAUGCUGAAGAACAAAGUACCAUAAUUUGAGACACAGGCACUUACAGUCUUAGCAACCCAUAUACAAGUGAUGUUGUUCUCCACACACUCCUAAAAGGUUUUUCAACACAACAUGAUGUCACUGAAUCAGUGAGUGGCCCUAGCUCUUCUGCCAGCUCUGCUUCAAGAAUGACGAUUUGAACUGAAGACAUUGCAAUGCCAGUGUUUUGCUUAAAAACAAAUAAGUAUUGCAAGAAAACAAAGCUGAAAGCCAGCCAAACAAAAAAAGCUCCAUAAAUAUUGGUGUCUCUUAGUAUCAGGGAAGACUGAAUUUAAUGCAAGCCAUUAAUUAAAGAUUCCAAUCACUUUGGAGCAUUUUAAAAGCUGUUAUUUCAUCAGCUGUUUUCAAAACCUGAUCCUGAUCAAUCACCGUAUAAAUUCUAGUCCAAACCAUCUUCAGCAAAAUGCCAUUAAACCAUUUUAAUCUGUUAAAUAUUAUUUUUAAAUUAUUAAAUAUUACAAAUAAUCACACUCUCGCUAUCACAGACCGCUAUGUAAACCAAACCCAAGUAAACUCAGGGACUGGAGGACAACCAUCUGCUUUCUGGUGCCCAGGAGUCUGACUGGGCCCAUGUAUUUUACAGAAUACUAGACUAACAGGACUUCCCUACUUCAAAUAUACUUUAAAGUAUAGUCAAAAUACAAUUCUGAAGAUAUGAUUGUAUAUUAUGAAGGUUACGGAGCAGAUUGUCUUGAGUGCAAUCACACAGCAUGAGUGAGACAACCAGGGGAUCAGGCCUAGCCAAAGAAAGGCAGGUCCUGCUUGACCAAUCUCAUCUCCUUCUAUGACCAGGUGACCCGCCUGGUGGAUGAGGGAAAGGCUGUUGAUAUGGUCCACCUAGGCUUCAGCAAAGCCUUUGACACUGUCUCCCACAGUAUUCUCCUGGGGAAGCUGGCAGCCCAUCUUCAUAAAAUCCUUGUUUGUAUACAGCAGGCCUCUUAAAUACUAUCUGCACCUGAAACUGUGUUCCAAUCUAACCCAGAAAUCACAAGAGUUUGAGUAAUGACUCUGUGUUUAUUCUUUGAUUGUCUUCUUUACAGUGGUGUCAACGGGGAAAAAGACAACAAUAUUCUGAAGGCUUUUUAAUUUAACAUAGGUUAAAUUAAUUUACUGUCUAAUUUCAACCUAUAGUACUUGUUGGAAGAAAUAUUAACGUGGGCUUUUUAUCUGUUCUCAGUGUGGUCUUUGUCAGGAGUAUGAGAUGUCGGAAACAAGUUAAUUAAAGAAUCUUUAAAAAUAUAUUUCCUUCUGAAACAGAGCUGAGAAGCCUGACACAUUAAAUAGCAUUUCUUUUAUUCUAAAUUAGCCCCCUGGUUAUGCCUGAUACCAUAUUCUGAGUUUUGAAGCUCUGACUCUGGAAAAGUGCUCAGCACUUCACUAGAAUAGCAUGAUAAAAACAGUUUAUGGACCUAUUUUACCAAAUGACUUUUUGCAAGAAGUCCUCCAUAUACAAAUUAAAAAACAUGAGAGAUUAUUUCAUGCUGAACAUCUUAAAAAGGGAAUUUUGUAUCCACCAUGUUCUAAUUGCUUGCUCCAUAAUUUAUUGUAUAAAAAUUUAGAACUUUACAGCUCUGAGAAAUCUCUUCAGCAGAGCGAUACCUUUUCCUCCCACUUUUAGGACAUUGUUGUGAUCUAAAAAUUGCUUCUAAUUAGCUCUGAAGAUUGGUAUGCCACGCAUAGUGAAAAUAUGGACUCAAUUUUUUUACUGAUAUUCUUUUUUUUCCCCCAAACCAGCAGAAAUAUACUGUUGUAUUCACAAAAGUGCCUGAAAUACUACAUGCAAGUAUCAUAAACUCAACUUCUGAAUUUACUCAUACAUGUCUUCCAUUUGUAUUGUACACAGAAACAAUAAUUUGACAAACUAUGUUUUCUUUACAUAGUGAGCUACUGCUGCUUUGGAAUAAUAAUUCAUUCAGAUUUCUCUGAUUAUCCUCCCAAGUUCACAAAUAUAUAUUUGUCCUUAGUGCUGUUUUUAGGUACCUCAUAUUUGGGUUAAUGUGUGUUGGCAAUAAACAAGAAUUUGACUCCUUCUGGAGACACAGAUCAGGUUUUGCAGUGUUCAUUUUGCUGUGACUUUCCCUUUUUAAGCAUAUGGAAGAACAACGAAUGUAGGUCUGCAAAUGCUCUUUUUAAUCAAAUGGGUUAUUGGUGGCUUCAGGUAACAACAGCAUUCGUCUAUUUUCAAUUGCAGAUAGUUGUAAAUAUGCAGCUGCUCAUGUGGGUAUAACAACAGUGAAAACAAGUGACAAAGAUGACAUCCUUUGGAAAUCUCAGCAUUGUAAUUUUUGUUGGAUAUAUCCUCUUGUACCAAUAAAAAAGUGCUCUUAAAACUCCUAAAACUUUCAUUUUAAGAGUUUGAAAAACAUAGGUUUCUGAUAUUAUUGGUCUCACGUAUAGUCCCCUCUGUCACAUGCUUUGAAAUACUGAUGAAUAGCAAUUGCAGAGUGACUGUUUCAGAAAAUGAACACUCACUGAAUCCAAUUUCCCAGAAUGGCCAUAUGCAAAAGCCUCUCUUACUUGCACAAACAGAUUUGAUGGCUAUGUGCACAAAUUGUACCAUAAAGUGUCCACAGAGGCAAGGUUCCUAUUAGUCAUGAGUACUAUGGACAUGGCAUUCAUGCCAUAUACAUUUUAGGGGAAGCUUGCUUUCUUGAUUCACAGUCAGCAGGCUGAAUGUUUUACUGUAGCAUUCUCUGAGAGCACAUCUGGUUUGGUUUCAUCUGAAGCUAUCUGCACAUGGUUGCAUCUGAAAAGAGGCUGUCUGCACUUAGUCCUGGCCCCUCUGCUGGAGCAUGGAUUGGGUCUGAUGGUCUCAAAGGGGCCCUGCCAGCCUCAGCCCUUCUGUGAUUGUGUGAAUUCAGGUGGAGCACUCAAAUCCUGCUGCCGGUGUGAAUCUAACUGGUAAGUGCAGAUGAUCAGAAGAUUCUUCUUAGCCAUACCCUCCUGGACUGAAAUAAAACAUUAAUCCAGGUUCAUCGAGCAUCCAAUUGUCCUCGUCAGCAUGCUUGUACCAAAUUCAGGAACAUGAUUAUUUACAGAAGAAAUACUGCAAUGUCUUUUCCCUUUUCUUUGCCAUCUGUGAUGUAUUUUUAAAAAAUAUUCUAUAUCCUCUUUCCUAAAACAAAAGAGAAGCAUCCUAAGGGACGUAGAGUACCAGCGUGAUCAGGCCUCUCUCUGCCAAGUUUCUGAAUGAGUGCUUUGAAAAAUAACACUCCUUUCCCUGAAACAAUGGAUAUAAUUCUGAGGAAAAUUGUGUAAUCCAUCAAUUCUGCAUAGGUUUAUGGACUGAAAGGAAGGUUAGAGAGAGGGAGCAAACAGAAGAGGAGGACUCUGUGCUGGCAGUAAACACUAUUAAAUCCCUGUAGUUCCUGCAGUUUCAAAUUUGCAAAGUGUAUGAUAUGUCAUUUAGUAACAUAUGCUUUGUCUGAGUGCUCUCAGGGAGCAAUAGCCCGGCCUUGAAAAAUAUGGUGGUGGUUCUGCUUUGAAAUAUGAACAAGAAAAGCAGCAUUCCUGCUCUCUGUACAAGGCUGAACCAGAUGGGGAACUCUAACCAUUGUCAAAUCAUGAAGAACCCCAAAGGAUUUUUGUCUGGUAGGUUUUACAAAAUUCCUAAAAGAAACAUUGCGUUUGGAAGCAAAAAGAAGAGUACUCUAUACUUGUAGAUGUUUUUGUUCGUAUAUUUUAGAACAGAAGAAUACAGUGCAAAUUAAUCUUACAUUUUUAUGCAUGAUUUAUAUGAAGUAAGAAAAUCUUCGCUUUUUUAUGCAUUCAGGCUUAAGGAGAUAAUAUUGUAAUCCGUGAAAGCAUGGGUUGUUUUUCCUCCUUUCACCUGAAAGAAUAAAAAAUAAUUUUUGUAGAACAGUUCUUAAAUUUAAAGAAAAAAAAUGAAGCAGGCUACACUUCUAGUCACAUUUAAUGAAAUGCCAAUCAAGAAAGAAUUCAGGCUUUGUUCUAGUGAGUAUAUGCUUCAGUCUUACUCUGAAUGCAGGUGAGAAAAUAGUGAUGUCCUGAACUGCUAUGUACCAUUGUAUGUGCUUUUUAAUGAUAAUAGACCUAUCCAGUGACAGAGUAUUUGUCAUAGCACUGAAUAUUGUGUGGGCAGUUCUUAAUAAUAAAAUGUAACCAUAGUAUUAACAAUACAGAACAUUUUAAGUUCCCUGGUAUAUUUUUGAGUCCAUGCAACCUAUCUAUUGCAUGCUGAGUUAUUAUUAUUUAUUCUUAUCUUUAGAACUUCUUGGCAGUAGGUGAAAAUGCAGCUGAUAAAUGUCCUGAAAAUGAAAGUUCUUUUGAAGACAAUGGCCUUGCUCAUGAGCUAUCCUUUUGAGUGUUCACCUUUACAAAGAGCAAGCAGUGUCCAAGGGAAUUGCUGAGUUUCUCAUCUUUUCGAUGGUUGGUCCCAGUGGCAGAAAUAAAAGUUUUAAAAACAUCCUAAUGUUGAAACAGAAAACCAAGGGAAAAACAAUGUUUUGGCCCAUCACCAACCUGCUGAAAAUCUGCUGUCUCCUUCUGGCAUGCCUCCAGCCUCCUCUCUAUGAUGCCUGUCUUCCUCUUUCAAAAAAAGGAGAACUGUACUUGCGUACAUUAUUCAAAACAACAUUGUAUUCUAGAAUAUUUCCAUGUAUGCUGAUUUCUGUUCCAUUUUUUCUCUGAAAAAGAAAUACAUACACACAUAUAUAUACAUAUAUGUAUUUAUAAUGAAAGAAGGAAGCAAGAUAAUCUCAGAAAUAAUUUGCUUUUCAGAUGUUGAAAGUCAAAAUAUACUUUUAAAUUACAAAAAUAGAUUGUGUCUGUUUAGAAAUGUCUACAUAAGUCAUUAGUUCAGUUUCACCUAUAAAGUGUUAUUAACUAACUGUUUAGUUAUCACAUGUACCCACUUAAAACACAUUUCAGGGUUUUACUUCAGCGGGAUUAAUUUAGUCCAUGAACUGACACAUUAUUAGCAACUGGAGUGAAUUAGGCAUCAGCAGUACAUUCUUUUAAUUAAUUUUCUCCCAGAAUGAAUCCAGAUUUUGCAUUCAAAGACUGAUCUGUGUGAUAAAAAAAAAUUGCUAAAAAAUGCAAAGAUUAGAGAUUGAAAUGCUUAUGUACACACAUCCAUAGAAUACUUUCAAUUCUCAUUGUUAUCUAGUGAACCAGUCUGUUUGCCUAUCAUUUUAUGCUCAAG